Molecule: long non-coding RNA, 338 nt
Organism: Mizuhopecten yessoensis (Yesso scallop)
Lineage: Eukaryota; Metazoa; Mollusca; Bivalvia; Pectinida; Pectinidae
Exons: 3
Source: RefSeq, a predicted model, not a curated record
UACUCGAACAAGUGACCACGUAAUCAGAUUAUUUUUGUUUAACGACAUAUCAACUUCCGAAUGGAAGCAGAUCGACAAAACCAGUAAGCCAUGAUGCAUCAGAAGAGUGUUUUGGGAGUAAGGCCGACUAACCUACGGUGUCCAUUAAUCCUUUCUGGCAACAGGAGAAAGUUGUUCUACUUCCUGCUGUUCCUCGGAUUUCUGUGAAUCUGCCUUCAUCAUGACGCAAUGCUGGAAAAUCUACCUGUUCGACAUGAUGGGUUGUGAACGAGAGAAAUUUAUAUGUUUGAAACUCCGAGGACGCCUGGCCAAUCAAAUGUUUGAUUAUGCCUUUCUGU